Molecule: non-coding RNA, 23 nt
Filed under: Arabidopsis thaliana (thale cress)
Lineage: Eukaryota; Viridiplantae; Streptophyta; Magnoliopsida; Brassicales; Brassicaceae
Source: RNAcentral
AAGCUUUUCGAGAAUUAUGCUAA